UUGAGUUAAAAGAAGACUUCACAUUUUGGUAAUACUAUUAAGUUUAUUUCAAUUUUUUCCCAAAGGCAUAGUUGUAUCAAAACGAAUACAAAAGUCCAAAUUUGUAUACUUUUCAUGGCAAACAAGAUCUGAGUUAAUAAAAGUAUAGAUCUCUGAACUCCCCCAAAAACUAAAUUUACAUUAUUUUAGAUAUAAACUUGGUAAAGUGACUAAAAUAGAGGAUACGUACAUUUUUGAUUGCCACAAUUUCAAUCAAUCAACAUAUACUAUACAAAUGGUCAUCCCAAUUUUAUUCCUUAAUAAAUUGCAUACUUUUUUUCAACGAAUCUUUAAACAGAAGGCAGAACAGAACAGUUAGUGAUGUUAGACGGAGGAACUUAGAGUUCAUUACAGACAGGCGAGGAUGGAGGCUUUGACUGCAGCACAUCCGGAUUAUAAAGAGGACAUUUCUUCAGGAUUAUCUACUUUGAAGUACCCUAAGCCGUUUACGGAACCACCAUCGUUGAGUAGCAGUAAAUUUACCACUCCAUUCUAUUCUUUGCACGGGUCCGACGAUGAGGGCCUGAUUCCGUUGUUUUCGAAGGAGAGUUGGAGGAAUUGAGGGGACAAUAAAACAACAGCGAAACCAUGAGGAUGCCAAUCUCUUAAAUUAGUGUUUAUACUAGAGCUAC
This is a long non-coding RNA of Aethina tumida (small hive beetle), 671 nucleotides long. RefSeq lists it as uncharacterized. The record is from RefSeq and is a predicted model, not a curated record. Lineage: Eukaryota; Metazoa; Arthropoda; Insecta; Coleoptera; Nitidulidae. The transcript is spliced from 3 exons.